AUUGAUUCUUAUGGUGAUCUCCCUGUAAAUUUCAUUGGUUGGGGAUGAUCAAGUUUUUGAAGAAUAGACAGAAUUUCCAGUACUAAACAGCACUGUGCAUUUUUGCUUGCACUAUUUUACGUCUCCUGAUACAUGU
Molecule: small nucleolar RNA, 136 nt
Organism: Pyrus x bretschneideri (Chinese white pear)
Lineage: Eukaryota; Viridiplantae; Streptophyta; Magnoliopsida; Rosales; Rosaceae
Product: small nucleolar RNA snoR137
Exons: 1
Source: RefSeq, a predicted model, not a curated record